ACUCUACGCCUUCUUCCUCUCACGCGUUUGAGUCGCCAAUAAGGUAUUUCUCAGGUGUCAAGUAUGAAAGAGAUGCCGCCGCCUCAUCUUUGCUGGACUUGAACUGACACUUGCACGUGGUUCGGUAACUGAUGGCCGCAUCGUCACUUUGCGGGGCUACUGGUACAUCCUGACUCCUGGCAGCAUGUGUUGUCCAGUGCACAUUGUCGCUGUAUGAAGAAGUUUUAGAUGGAAGAAUGGACAGACAGUUGCUGAACUCAACAUCAUUUGGGAAAGUCUGGAGUUUCACAGUGCAGGGCAACAUCAUGGACAACAGAAUCCUCAAUAUGGAUUGCUGUUGUGGGCUGCUUGCGUAUGUUGUGGUAAAGAGUGUGAGUGUAACGUUCAUCCGUCUCCAUGUUUUUGUGAAAUGUGUAGAUGCUGUGUUUGUUUUAUUUGUAACCAUGUGAAAUGGACGUCUGUAUAACGCAUUAAAAUAUAAUUAAAUGCAGAACGGCAUGGUGCGGAAUAGUGUAAAGUAUGUUCCAUCGAUUUGAAAGGACAGCAAUGCGCCGACACUAGUUCAAAUAGAGGUGUAACUUUUUAUAGCAAGUAAUUGGUCAAUUUAAAAGAAAGUCAGUGUGACAAAAGUGAAUAACAAUGUAAAUUAGUCAUGAGAAAUAUUUUGUUGAAUUUAAUGUACGGCAAUGCGCCGAUAGUGGCUUAACAGGAGUAUAAAAUUUCUGAUUGAUUGAAACUUGGCUAGGAGGUAACGAACUUCUGUGGAGUAUUCUAGCAGAAAUGAUAGAUUUUACGUUAAAAAAAGACUAUCAACAACAUAAAGAUGCAGAGUAAUGCGACUUUGAAAA
Schistocerca piceifrons (Central American locust) is the source of this 848-nucleotide long non-coding RNA. RefSeq lists it as uncharacterized. Lineage: Eukaryota; Metazoa; Arthropoda; Insecta; Orthoptera; Acrididae. The transcript is spliced from 3 exons. The record is from RefSeq and is a predicted model, not a curated record.